This 449-nucleotide ribosomal RNA is filed under the name Hymenobacter sp. R-39126. Its description in RNAcentral is "bacterial SSU rRNA". It matches the Rfam family "Bacterial small subunit ribosomal RNA", at positions 21 to 475 of the family's 1533-position model. Lineage: Bacteria; Pseudomonadati; Bacteroidota; Cytophagia; Cytophagales; Hymenobacteraceae. The record is from RNAcentral.
GGCUCAGGAUGAACGCUAGCGGCAGGCCUAAUACAUGCAAGUCGAACGGUCUUUAGCAAUAGAGAUAGUGGCGCACGGGUGCGUAACGCGUAACCAACCUACCCGAAUCUGGGGGAUAGCCCGCCGAAAGGCGGAUUAAUACCGCAUAAGACGGCAGACCGGCAUCGGUUCGUCGUUAAAGAUUUAUUGGAUUCGGAUGGGGUUGCGUGCCAUUAGCUAGUUGGGGGGGUAACGGCCCACCAAGGCGACGAUGGCUAGGGGAGCUGAGAGGCUGGUCCCCCACACGGGCACUGAGAUACGGGCCCGACUCCUACGGGAGGCAGCAGUAGGGAAUAUUGGGCAAUGGCCGAGAGGCUGACCCAGCCAUGCCGCGUGCAGGACGAAGGCUUUCUGAGUCGUAAACUGCUUUUGCCAGGGAAGAAUAAGGGUCGUGCGCGGCCCGACGACGG